Molecule: non-coding RNA, 72 nt
Organism: Angiostrongylus cantonensis (rat lungworm)
Lineage: Eukaryota; Metazoa; Nematoda; Chromadorea; Rhabditida; Metastrongylidae
Source: Rfam
GCCUCUAUAGCUCAGUGGCAGAGCGUCUGUCUCCUAGACAGAAUGUCUGCGGUUCAAUCCCGCAUGGAGGCA